Molecule: ribosomal RNA, 567 nt
Filed under: Salmonella enterica subsp. enterica serovar Mbandaka
Lineage: Bacteria; Pseudomonadati; Pseudomonadota; Gammaproteobacteria; Enterobacterales; Enterobacteriaceae
Description: partial 23S ribosomal RNA
Rfam family: Bacterial large subunit ribosomal RNA
Source: RNAcentral
UGUUUCGGCUAGGGGGCCAUCCCGGCUUACCAACCCGAUGCAAACUGCGAAUACCGGAGAAUGUUAUCACGGGAGACACACGGCGGGUGCUAACGUCCGUCGUGAAGAGGGAAACAACCCAGACCGCCAGCUAAGGUCCCAAAGUCAUGGUUAAGUGGGAAACGAUGUGGGAAGGCCCAGACAGCCAGGAUGUUGGCUUAGAAGCAGCCAUCAUUUAAAGAAAGCGUAAUAGCUCACUGGUCGAGUCGGCCUGCGCGGAAGAUGUAACGGGGCUAAACCAUGCACCGAAGCUGCGGCAGCGACACUGUGUGUUGUUGGGUAGGGGAGCGUUCUGUAAGCCUGUGAAGGUGGCCUGUGAGGGUUGCUGGAGGUAUCAGAAGUGCGAAUGCUGACAUAAGUAACGAUAAAGCGGGUGAAAAGCCCGCUCGCCGGAAGACCAAGGGUUCCUGUCCAACGUUAAUCGGGGCAGGGUGAGUCGACCCCUAAGGCGAGGCCGAAAGGCGUAGUCGAUGGGAAACGGGUUAAUAUUCCCGUACUUGGUGUUACUGCGAAGGGGGGACGGAGAAG